UACUGAGUAUAUUACUAAGUAGUCAUUUAGUCUUUGCUGAGGCUAAUUAGUAAUAAUGGAGAAAAACUGUUCUCCCGCUGACCUUGAAUCCAGACCACAGACAAAUUCCUUAAUUUAUCCAGAAGUUUUCAAAAGGUGCUAUGGGCCCUAGAGUCCCUGUUAAAGAAUGAGGCUGACCAGGUGGUCCCAUUCUGUGAGACCACAGGGCUGUUACUGUAGGCUCAGAAAUGAUGACCUUGCUGAGCCUUUAAGGCCACAACCCUGUGUACUGUGGACAGAGUGAUCUCUGAAGGCUGCCAGUCACUCCAAGUGAGCCAAUCAGCACAAGCUAUCUGGAAUUAAAAGCUAUAUUAAGUUAUGAAUGAGAGGGCUCCUGUGAGGAUGGGAUCUGGUGUCCUGUAUUACCAUAAGCUCUACGCUGCUCUAGACUUUGAUUGUUGAGGCAGCUGAGAUACAGGCAAGCCCAAAUCUAGAGCUUGGAAAGGACCCUGUGAGGCUAUUCUAGUCCUUUGGGGGCCUCAGUGCAGGUAGCUCUGGAGUGAGAAAUGGGGUAGGACCUGGGAGCCUCAAGUGGGAAGUGACUAUGGGGGGUCAAACAUGCUGGAAUGCAUUUUGAGGGCUGUUUUUAUUUCCUGGACUUGUAUGUUUUUAUUUCCUCUUUGCCCUUCCUUAGGAUUUACUAAAGCUCUUUGGGAAGUUUCAGCUGCUUCAGCUGUGUGUAUGUGUGUGUGUGUGUGUGUGUGUGUGUGUCAGAUCUUCGGUGUGAGGUGAUGGACAGAGGACAGUGAGGGAUUUGCUGGGGGUGAGGUUGAGCUUGUAUCAGUAUCAGGAAGCAGAAACUCUGGGUUUUAUGGUCGGGGGGCAGGGGUUUUUCUCUUCCCCUCCCAGACCCUGUUGCAGCAGUGAGGCGGCCCAGGUCAUGACGGGGAUUAUUUCUUCCUUUCAUUUCUGGCAAAAGCUACAGGAGGGGAGUUCCCCUUCUCUGUUUGUUUUGAUUCUGUUGUUUUCUUAAAGAGAGGAAGGAAAACCAUCAUCACUUUUUCGGUUUUGUGAACAAUAAAGGCAGGCUGAGAGGAUGUUCGCCUGGGCUGGGGCUGUGGGGGCUGGGCCAACACCUCCUCCUCUUUCCCUCUGGCAACCCUUCUCCUGGCAGCUCGGCGCCUGGGGAGACCCCCAGAACACAGAUCAGGCCACGUUGUGGGGUCAAGUUUAAGUGCCGGCUCUGCCUUUUAACUGCUUUUCACUGGUCUGAGGUGUAUCUGUAUAAAUGGGAGUCAUAGGGUUGUUGAGAUUAAAAACAAAAAUACUCGCUUGUAAAAACACAGUGCUGGGCCUACACUAAAUGUCCCAGAAAUGUCUUUCCUUUGCUUCCUUCCACUGGGGGGGUCUAUAUCAUGAGCCCAGUGGUAUGGUAUACCCAGGGCCACCCUCCUGUCUUCCUGCUUGUCCACCCAGAGCCGGCUUCUUCCAUGGCAGGACCUGCAAAUGCUGGACUCACAGAAGGCUCUGAGAAGUAAAUAACAGAUGGAGUUUUACUUUUGCUGCCCAGGCUGGAGUACGAUGGUGCGAUCUCAGCUCACUGCAACCUCCGCCUCCUGGAUUCAAGCGAUUCUCCUGCCUCAGCCUCCCGAGUAGUUGGGGCCUGGCUAAUAUAUAUAUAUAUUUUUUAGUAGAGACGGGGUUUCUCCAUGUUGGUCAGGGUGGUCUCAAACUCUGACCUCAGGUGAUCCACCCGCCUCGGCCUCCCAAAGUGCUGGGAUUACAGGCAUGAGCCACCACAGCCGGCCCAAAUAUUACAUUUAAAAGCAAAAAUAAAAACAAACCCACGAGUGCC
Molecule: long non-coding RNA, 1834 nt
Organism: Homo sapiens (human)
Lineage: Eukaryota; Metazoa; Chordata; Mammalia; Primates; Hominidae
Exons: 2
Source: RefSeq, a predicted model, not a curated record